RNAcentral lists this non-coding RNA (45 nucleotides) under Trichobilharzia regenti. Lineage: Eukaryota; Metazoa; Platyhelminthes; Trematoda; Strigeidida; Schistosomatidae. The record is from RNAcentral.
AUCCAGAUGAAGAAUCCCAAAUAGGACGAAAUGCGCAUCCUGGAU